GGUAAGAAAAGCAAAAACAAAAACAAAAGGGAAAGCAUAGUUAUCUUCACCGCCGUUCACUCAUUUUAGACUACACCAUUUCUGAUUAUCACUUAUCUCGCACUGCACCUCUCUACCUCACUUUCUCUAUGUCGCUAUUUCAGUCUUUGAAUUCAUCACAACCAAAUAAUGCUAAGACACUUAAUUACUUAGAGUGAAGUGAAGCUUGGAGUUAGCCAUCUCAGGAAGGUAAGGAAUUCCUAACAGUGUUUAAUCUCGUAAACCCCAGAGUAGUUGAUGAAUCUAUUUGGUUGAAUUUUAAGUUCAAUAACAGAAUCGAUAUGAAAUCCUUUUAGGAAUUUAGAGAAAACCAAAAACACUCGUAGAUCUAUGGGGUUGUUUAUGCAGAACAUUUGAUUCGCCUCCACUUUGCUUUUUUUUUUUUUUUGUGUGGUUCUAAUUGUCGUCCUUGAUGCCUGUUGUUUGAACUUAUUUUCAUCCCAAUUAAACUACCGAAAUAAGUUUGUGAUUAAUUUUUUGUUUGUUAGUAAGGUACUGUAAAUCUAAGAUCAGUGGAUAUAAACUACCGGAUAGAGACACAAUUAGUGUACAUACCUGUGUGUUUCGAAUGUUGCUUCCUUUUUUUUGCCAAUAACAGUAGAAUUCUAUAACUGCUUCAUCAGCUCUGUACUGUGUUAUCCUCUGCUUGAGUUAUAUUAAUUAUUUCUAUAUUUUGAUUAGUGUGCUAUUCUGUUGUUUUUAAACAUGCAUCUCUUACUGCAUCUUAAUGAUUUUACUGGAUCGUUAAUCUUAUGAUUUAUUUUAUUCGUUAUUAAUUGUUUUAAUGAUUUGAAUAGAGAUGUAAAACUAACAAAAUUUUAAGAAAGGUGCAAAUGAUGAUCACACAAUCUAAUGCACAGUUUAAACCAAUUAACAGAAGUAUUUGGUUUUACAGGACUAAAUCAUUUGAUAUAUAAUCUUAAGUGACUGAUACAUAGUGGUUUUUAUAAGUGCUGAACCUGUAUUUUUUAAGGCUAUUGUGAAAAAUGUGGAGAUUCCAGGCCAGACUAUCUGAGGUAUGUUAGACCCCAAUACAAUUAUACAGUUGUAGUCACUUACAUAGUCAUCAUAUCAAAGUAUCCAACUUGAACACUUGCAAAAUGUUUUUAUAUUUUUUUUCAGGUGAAUAUUAUAUUUAAUGGUAUAGAAUACAACUUAAUCAAAACUACAUCAAAGUCUGUCAGGUAUCAAGAGCUGAAAUCAUCAAUGGCACUUCCAUAGCUCAUACUGCUCAUGGAAACAAUACUGCGCAUUGGUGUUUGGCCGUCUUUAAAACUACAUAGAGAGUAUAUACAACAGGGAGCAGAAAACAUUUUAUAAUCUUACAAGGUGUCUUCAAGUAGAAAAUUGAUCAGCCUAGUAUUCCUGCCAAAUAUGACCUUCUCUUGUUGAACAUCAUAGUAACGUACCAGCCUAAGUUUGAUGGCACUUGUGGUGUUCCUGGUAGCAAUGUCACGACCAAGAAUGUAUAGGGGAGCCAUUGGUAUGACAAAGGUUAUGCUAGGGCUUUGUUUUGAAGUUAUCUGAUAGGGUUUUAAAGAGUGAAGAUGGCAGAUAUAUAUACACCAGAUUAUACCAAUUCAAAAAAUCAAAAAACAAUUGAACAGACUUUGGUUAGCCCAAAAGACGCAUCGUGGACAGUCGAUCUCCAUGUUUAUUAUUUUUGGGAAAUAUAAUCUGUGAUGAUGGUGUUUAA
Ipomoea triloba (trilobed morning glory) is the source of this 1735-nucleotide long non-coding RNA. RefSeq lists it as uncharacterized. The record is from RefSeq and is a predicted model, not a curated record. Lineage: Eukaryota; Viridiplantae; Streptophyta; Magnoliopsida; Solanales; Convolvulaceae. The transcript is spliced from 4 exons.